RNA transcript from Rhododendron vialii, 4324 nucleotides. It is a transcript of the gene named protein FAR-RED IMPAIRED RESPONSE 1-like, with no coding region annotated. The record is from RefSeq and is a predicted model, not a curated record. The transcript is spliced from 4 exons. NCBI's taxonomy places the organism in Eukaryota, Viridiplantae, Streptophyta, Magnoliopsida, Ericales, Ericaceae.
GAUCGAGACAGCUCUAUUUAUUUAUUGCGUCGUUAGCUAUACCUCGUAGGCGCGUGGGUCCCAAUCUCCAAGCCGUUUUCUCCCACAAAAUUUUGGACUAAACAAACCGACCACGCGAAAAUUGAAGGUGGUAAUCUCUGUCGCUUCAAAUUCAUGGAUAGACAAGCCGAAGUGGAAGAAGGAGUUGAGCAAAUAGAAACCUCUGUAUGUGGGGAACUAAGUGUGUGUGAAUACGAGAGAAAUCAAGAGCCAUUUGAGGGAAUGCUCUUUGACACGGAAGAAGCUGCACGAGCAUUCUAUGAUGAAUAUGCUACCCAAGUGGGGUUUGUUACCCGUGUACUAUCUUCGCGGAGGUCAGAGCGUGAUGGGUCAAUUAUUUCCCGUGGACUUGGAUGUAGAGAUGGGUCUUAUAAUAAAAAGAGAGACAGACGGCGAGAAGGUUGUACGGCAAAGUUUCUAGUGAAGAAAGAGAAGUCGGGAGCAUGGGCUGUCAAAAAUUUUGUGAGCGACCACAAUCAUCCCCUGGUUGUUACAUUACCAAAUAGACGUCCAAAUCUGGAUGAGAAAGAUAGGAAAAUUCAGGAACUGACAGCGGAACUGCGGGUUAAGAAGAAACUAAAUGCAGCAUAUCGUGACCAGUUACGUUCUCUUAUGAAAGACGUGGAAGACCACAGUGAAAAUCUAUCUACCAAAGCCCAAGUUGUUCUUAACAACCUCAGGGAACUUGAAGCUAAAAGGAAGGAGCUUCCACGCCGUGGGUAGCCUGAUUUUGGAGUGAGUACCUUUGUGGUGUGUUUGCUUCAAAUUGGUCAGUCAUGAAUUUACGUUCAUCCUUAAUUUUGCAGUCUUUGAUAUUAUUGUACAGUUUUUUUAGCCGGGAACCCAAUUCUGAGUAGGAAUGAAUUCUAGGAUAAAUAACACGCGGGAAGUGAGGCAUAUGAUGAAAAUGGGGGCAUCGUAUAAACCAUUUGGUAUCAGUCUUGGAUUGCAAUGGAUUAAGCUGUUGGCCUUUUGAAAUUAGGUGAUGGUAGUUGGUACCUGCUCUUUCCUUCCAUGCCACUACUUAGGGUAUUUUGUAUGGACAACCAUUGUUGCAGUCUUGCAGAGUUAUUAGCUGAUUUAGAUGCUCUAUGUUUCCUCAUAAAUGCUCUAUUAUUAGUUAUUUCUUUUCGCUUCUUCCCACCCUCCACCCAUGGAAUCAAAUUCAUCAUGAUUUCUGCAUAAUGAUUAAGAGGUCAAUCUUGUUCAUCAUGGAUAGUAAUUUUUGUUAAGCACUUGUUCUUUAUGUGCCUCCUCUGUUUUAAGUUUUAGCCAAAGGAAACAGAUGUUUGAUACUUUUUUCGUCUUUAGUGAACUACAUUUUGCUUUUGGACACAAUUUUUUACUUUAUAGACUCCUCUCGUCGAGACGGAUGAUUAAUGCUUAAAAUAUAACGCAAAUCUAAACAAAAAUUCCAAAAAGAUGAACAAAACACAUAGAACGAAGAAAAAAAAAGUUUACAAAAACCCACCCUAAAUUAAUGUAGAACGAGUGAAGGAUUUAGGGUUUCAACGGGGUAACACAGAUAUGGUUUUGGGGCCACGAUUAGGCUAUGUUCAAGGACAAUUCUAUGUCGUCUGCAGUUGCGAAUAGUAACCUCAUGAACUGUAAAAGUGGCUGAUUGCAUGCAGAAAACAAGAAAAGAAGAGAAGGAUUGAACAAGAUAGGUCUAUGAAUCAUGUGUAGGAGCCUUAAGCCUCACAUCUAGGGUUAUAUUGCAUAACACAACCAUAAAAGAGGCUUCAAUGCUCUGAUUCUGUAAUACUGAUCCACAUCUAGGGUUAUAUUGUAUAACACAACCAUAAAAGUGGCUUCAAUGCUCUGAUUCUGUAAUACUGAUCUCUGUUAUUAUUGUGGCAUAAGAUCCUUUAUAUGGACUAGAGACUUCCUAAACCAACUAAAACUAUGUUUUUUAAGAAAAGGAAGCUAUUGAAUCCUUGGACGUUUAAAACUUAUGUCAUGCUAAAAGAGACUCAUAAACCAAUUCAGUAACUCGACCCUCAAUCGCGACCAUGUACGGAAAAACUAAAAUUACCAAAAUACCCUAACUAGAAAACUUGACCAGCGACACUCUUAUUCAGUACUAAACCGAGAUAAGACUCCACUACGACUAUUUAUUUGACUAAUCACGCCUUCUUUAGGCCCUAUCUUGACAACGGUGAAAUUCCAUAUAUUGCCGCUUGCUUAAAUAUACUUUUUCUUGACAUCUGACAGCCUCCAUUUGCUUGGCCUGCAAAAACUAGAUCUUUACUUUAAACUAGUUCCCCACAUAAUUAAACUACUGUAUCUCUUCUUACAGAAUUCUUUUCUGAAACAAAAAAAAUACUUUAUUUUCCUUCACUUAACUCUUUUAGGGAAUAAUUUUCUUGAACGUUGCACCAAAUUGUUGACAGCUGAACAGAGCCUUAAAGCUGGACAUUCAACCCUAACCACUGAACUAGAAGCAGCAGCUUGUUAGCAAUAGUCCAAUGUAGUGGUGGCAGUAAUGAACACCCAAAAUGUGGAAUUUCCCCAAACAGAGCUGAUUAAAUUGCUAGGAUAUUGGGGUCCCUAUGAAAUGAAUCUCCAUGUGCUGAAGAUCCAAGCCAUCUUCAUUUUGUUCAGACUUCUGAUAUUGCUGCGGAGCCAUCUAAGAAUAUCAUGCUACAUGUGUUUCAUAGCCUGCAUUGGUCUGUAUGACGAAUUGUUUCCGGAAUGUUGUUGUAUAAUACGCUGUUAUGAUAUCAAGCUGUGAUGUUGCUAUUAUGUAGAAACAUGAACUUGCAUAUGCUUUUUUUAGUGCGCAAUACUGGUAUACAUCAACUCAUACGGUCAUAUUGAAUGAGAGUAAAUUUUCUUUUGAAAUAUAUUUAACAUACUUAUUCAGUGACAAACAAAGUUGCAUCUCCCAAAGAGGAAAAACAAGAAUUUAGCCAUUGAAAAACAACUAGCGCAGUGGAAGAUCCUUCUCCUGGAAGAUUGUUGCCUUCUUGUGUAUGCAUGCAUGCCUAACUCUAUAAACUCUCAAUUUCAAUGGGAAAUAUUUGUCACUUAUGAUAUACUUGUCUUAUGUUGUGCAGUGGUCCUGAACUUCUAAAGUAGCAAUGGCAUAGCCAGUGUAGUAUCCAUAUUUAUGUAAGAAGCAUUACAAAAGUUGCUUCAGAGGGGAAGCAGUUUAAUUGGGUGGAGUUUUGUGAUGUCAGGUCCCCUUGUGAGGCCAAGGUUUGUGGUUUACAGUGGUUUUGGUACUGGGAUGUUUAGGGUCUCUGAGUAUUUAAAUUAAGGGGAAAUGAUAUUAUGGCAACACAAUGUGGUGUACAAAACAUAUUACUCUGGAAUCUAUUUAGGUCAUUGUUAGUGUAGAUUCCUUAUUUAUCAAUGUAGGUCAACUGAGAUUUUGAAGCACUGAGAAAAAAUGAAUGUUUGAGUAUAUUUGCCAUUACUUUUCUUACACCACCACAAAUCGAAUAUCUGAACAGACCCUAAUUGUUGGUGCUUUUGACUUAAAACAAAAGUUGAAUAUUCCGUAUGGAAGGAUGAUAUGGAUGGUGGAUGCUAUAUACCCGGAUUAGUCAUUAGCCCCCACCCUCAUCCUGAGUUUGCCACCCAGAUGAGGAGGGUGAUUACUCAUCUGCCAGGAUGGUAUAUCCACUUAUAGGCAGAUAUGUAGUACCCAGCCCUCGGCCUUUUUUAUUUAUGAAGCAUUGUUCUCUUUAAAUCAUCAUUCACCUUUUAUCCACCCAUACCAGUUGCAAACAAACCAAGCAUAUACAUCACUCUUCAAGAACUUGUAAAACUGAUCCUGCUGACAACGGCCCGCAAGGGUACAUAUUUUGAUGGCAUCUCUAUGCUUCAUGUUUCUGUAGAUAGGCAGCUGCUGUAGUCAACUGCCCAGGUCCGUGGUUGGAAUGUGUUUUCAUUGAUUUCUUGGUUAUCUUUAACCAUAGUGUAAUUUCUGCUUAGUUGCCUUCACAGACUAUGUUUGGGUGUAGCUGGAAAGUAGGAAAUUGGUUGAAUAAUAAACAUGUAACCAAGUUAUCAUUUCGCGAGGGCAUUCUGCUGUUUUUUUUGGUAUGACAGAAAUAACUGAUGUCGAGAACGUAGUUCAGCGUACUAUGUAAACACUAAAGAGCAAAACUGUGCUAGCCCCCUCUAGAACCCCACAUCAUACAUGGUGUCUUUCAAGAACGAAGUGGCCAACUCAUAGAUGGAGAGACUUUUUGCACAUAUUAAUAGAGUCUUACUUUGCAUAUGAACAUGGUGCUUGCAGUCCUUUCAAGGAGAAAUUUGGAGUUUUCAAUUACGG